Artibeus jamaicensis (Jamaican fruit-eating bat) is the source of this 2068-nucleotide RNA transcript. It is a transcript of the gene named arginine and serine rich protein 1, with no coding region annotated. Lineage: Eukaryota; Metazoa; Chordata; Mammalia; Chiroptera; Phyllostomidae. The record is from RefSeq and is a predicted model, not a curated record. The transcript is spliced from 4 exons.
CAGCGGUCCUCCCUGCUCAGUUCACUCCUGGUCGCAGAAGGUGGAGGUUGUGGUUUCUCGCUCAGGAGGAGCUGCGAACGUUCCCUCUUCGUUCUUAGCUGUGGAAGGAAGGUGUCCGUUGGGCCUUUCUCUCUGCCCUAAACGAAGUGCGGGUGGCUUUUUAGGAACCGCAUUUUCGAGAAGGAUUUUGGAAGGCAAGAAAGCUUCCAGCCGUAGGCCAAGAUGCCCAACUAUGUGAACGAUAUGUGGCCGGGGUCACGCGAUGAGUCCCCGUCGGCCUCGGGCCGGUCCAGCCGGCUGUCGUCGGCGGCUGGGAGCCGCUCUCCCAGAAGCUCGCGGUCCCGAUCCAGCGUCUCCAGUCGGUGGUCGUCCAGCAGUCGGAGCCGGCGCAGGAGCAGGUCCAGGUCUCGGUCCCGAAGACGCCACCAGAGGAAGUACAGGCGGUAUUCGCGGUCCUACUCGCGGAGCCGCUCGCGAUCCCGUAGCCGCCGGCGGUACCGGGAGAGUCACUACGUCGUCUCCAGGAGGUAUUACCGGUCUCCGUCUCCCUCGCCGGACCGAUCCCGUAGCCGGUCCCGCUCUCGGGGGCGGUCGUAUUACCGAAGGGCCUACGCGGUCACGCGGGGGCGCCGCUACUAUGGCUUUGGUCGCUCCGUCUACCCGGAGGAGCACAGGAGUUGGCGGGCGAGAUCCAGGACGAGGUCGCGGAGCCCAACGCCGUUUCGCUUAAGUGAAAAAGAUCGAAUGGAGCUGUUAGAAAUAGCGAAAGCCAAUGCAGCAAAAGCCCUAGGAACAACCAACUUUGAAUUGCCCCCUAGUCUCAGAGUUGUUCCUGUAUUGAAGGAAACAAACCAUGAAACAAUCAUACCAAAUAAAGGUGCAAAGUUUGAGGUAAGUAUUCUAGGUUUAUCCAGACAAAAUCUUGAGAAAGCUACUUCCAGAAAGAUCUGAUUAGCAUUUUUAUUUGAUUUACUCUGAACUACAUUUGAGAAAGGCUAGCUAAAUAUUUAUUAAAGUCAAGAUAGCAGGUCUGACAAUACUUACUCUCUCCCAUGAAAAUAGACUUAACAACCUUUAUUUUUAGUUGACAGAAUAUUGCUUUCAUGAUUGUAGGUGGUAGUUUGAUUCUAUUUAGUUAACCAAAGAAUUUUCCUAGUCUCUAUUUAUCUGUAGUUUUCAUUUGCAGCAUUAUGUUCCCAGAAAUUCUGUACUCAACAUACAGUAUAGUUUAUCUGCUUUAUUUCUGUCUUAUAGAAAUCAUGAAUGUGGUCUCCAGACAUUGCUGAAGAAAAUCUGUUGGUAAUUGAUACAUGGGCAUAAGCAUCAGAGGUUUAACUAAUUUGAAGUUUAUGUUCACACACCGAAAGCUUUAGUAUUGGUAGAUCCAUGUGCAUGCUAGAAUUUGGGAUAGGUGCUGUUUGGAUAAGAUACAGAAGACCAGUUUUAAACUAAAGUACACUUUGUAAUAGUGGGGCAUCUGUGAUUUAGAUGUCCCUUUUGUAAUAUAUGCAAUGUAUUCCAGAUGUUUUGAGAGAAUACAGAAGAGGCCUGCUUCACUUGCAGAUAAGUUUAUUAUUCUCCAGAAAUAAAUGUGCAGGAUGUGCAUUGGCAAAUUGCCCUGUGCUUUUUAUGUUGGAACCCAAAGCAUAAAAUCCAAGCUUUAAGAAUUUAAGGUAAUUAGGAAUUGAUAGGCUCAGUUUAAAACAAAAGAAACAUUACCUAGAUGAAUCGAUCAUUCAUACUCAGAUAUGGGUAUACCUGUGUUAGUGCUAGACAAUUCUUCAAAUGAUUAGGUGUCAAACUGGCUAAUACAUUAGUUCUUGAAAACUAGGUAUUGUUACUGACUUACCUUCAGAGUUACUCGAAUUUGUACUGGGAAUAAAACAGUGCUUUAUGGGGAUUUGUGUCUUCAUCAGGUCCAUUUAAUGCAUCAAUUUUGUUGCGGGGGAAUCCACAGUACAGUGUUGUUCGGAUUGUGUACUGAAUGCUGUCGGAAAAGCUAACAGAAGAUGGAACUACAAAUGCCAGUGAAAAGUCCUCUCAACAAAAAAGCAGUAGCUUUAAUAAU